This 467-nucleotide ribosomal RNA is filed under the name uncultured bacterium. Its description in RNAcentral is "partial 16S ribosomal RNA". It matches the Rfam family "Bacterial small subunit ribosomal RNA", at positions 28 to 506 of the family's 1533-position model. The record is from RNAcentral.
GACGAACGCUGGCGGCGUGCUUAACACAUGCAAGUCGAACGGAAAGGCCCUGCUUUUGUGGGGUGCUCGAGUGGCGAACGGGUGAGUAACACGUGAGUAACCUGCCCUUGACUUUGGGAUAACUUCAGGAAACUGGGGCUAAUACCGGAUAGGAGCUCCUGCUGCAUGGUGGGGGUUGGAAAGUUUCGGCGGUUGGGGAUGGACUCGCGGCUUAUCAGCUUGUUGGUGGGGUAGUGGCUUACCAAGGCUUUGACGGGUAGCCGGCCUGAGAGGGUGACCGGCCACAUUGGGACUGGGAUACGGCCCAGACUCCUACGGGAGGCAGCGGUGGGGAAUAUUGCACAAUGGGCGGAAGCCUGAUGCAGCAACGCCGCGUGCGGGAUGACGGCCUUCGGGUUGUAAACCGCUUUCGCCUGUGACGAAGCGUGAGUGACGGUAAUGGGUAAAGAAGCACCGGCUACCUACGU